RNAcentral lists this ribosomal RNA (497 nucleotides) under uncultured bacterium. RNAcentral's name for it is "partial 16S ribosomal RNA". It matches the Rfam family "Bacterial small subunit ribosomal RNA", at positions 28 to 507 of the family's 1533-position model. The record is from RNAcentral.
GAUGAACGCUGGCGGCGUGCCUAAUACAUGCAAGUCGAGCGAACGGACGAGAAGCUUGCUUCUCUGAUGUUAGCGGCGGACGGGUGUGUAACACGUGGAUAACCUACCUAUCAGUCUGGGAUAACUUCGGGACACCGGCGCUAAUACCGGAUAAUAUUUUGAACCGCAUGGUUCAAAAGUGAAAGACGGUCUUGCUGUCACUUAUAGAUGGAUCCGCGCUGCAUUAGCUAGUUGGUAAGGUAACGGCUUACCAAGGCAACGAUGCAUAGCCGACGGGAGAGGGUGAUCGGCCACACUGGAACUGAGACACGGUCCAGACUCCUACGGGAGGCAGCAGUAGGGAAUCUGCCGCAAUGGGCGAAAGCAUGACGGAGCAACGCCGCGUGAGUGAUGAAGGUCUUCGGAUCGUAAAACUCUGUUAUUAGGGAAGAACAUAUGUGUAAGUAACUGUGCACAUCUUGACGGUACCUAAUCAGAAAGCCACGGCUAACUACGUG